AACUCAACUCAAUUCAACUCAAC
Molecule: small nuclear RNA, 23 nt
Filed under: Arabidopsis thaliana (thale cress)
Lineage: Eukaryota; Viridiplantae; Streptophyta; Magnoliopsida; Brassicales; Brassicaceae
Description: snRNA_16828
Source: RNAcentral